This 592-nucleotide ribosomal RNA is filed under the name uncultured Desulfosporosinus sp. Its description in RNAcentral is "bacterial SSU rRNA". It matches the Rfam family "Bacterial small subunit ribosomal RNA", at positions 8 to 569 of the family's 1533-position model. The record is from RNAcentral. Lineage: Bacteria; Bacillati; Bacillota; Clostridia; Eubacteriales; Desulfitobacteriaceae.
AGAGUUUGAUCAUGGCUCAGGACGAACGCUGGCGGCGUGCCUAACACAUGCAAGUCGAACGGAGAAUUUCAAAGAGCUUGCUCUAAGAGGUUUUUAGUGGCGGACGGGUGAGUAACGCGUGGGUAACCUACCCAUAAAGCCGGGGCAACCCUUGGAAACGAGGGCUAAUACCGGAUAAUCUUAAGUCUUGGCAUCAGGAAUUAAGGAAAGGUGGCCGAUGAAAAUGCUACCGAUUAUGGAUGGACCCGCGUCUGAUUAGCUGGUUGGUGGGGUAAAGGCCUACCAAGGCGACGAUCAGUAGCCGGCCUGAGAGGGUGAACGGCCACACUGGGACUGAGACACGGCCCAGACUCCUACGGGAGGCAGCAGUGGGGAAUCUUCCGCAAUGGACGAAAGUCUGACGGAGCAACGCCGCGUGUAUGAUGAAGGUCUUCGGAUUGUAAAGUACUGUCUUUGGGGAAGAAUGGUGUGCUUGAGAAUAUUGAGUACAAAUGACGGUACCCAAGGAGGAAGCCCCGGCUAACUACGUGCCAGCAGCCGCGGUAAUACGUAGGGGGCAAGCGUUGUCCGGAAUUAUUGGGCGUAAAGGGCG